Molecule: long non-coding RNA, 615 nt
Organism: Boleophthalmus pectinirostris (great blue-spotted mudskipper)
Lineage: Eukaryota; Metazoa; Chordata; Actinopteri; Gobiiformes; Gobiidae
Exons: 5
Source: RefSeq, a predicted model, not a curated record
GCUGUGUGUGUUUUAGUGUGAACAUUUUUAAAUAGAUUUUGUGUGGUGUAAUUUUUAUGGUGUAAAUAGUUUGCAUUUUUAGAUUUCAUUUUAAGCUCCUUAGCUAGGCUCUUGCACCUUCUCCAUGGAUAAGGGAAAAACAAACAGUGGGAAAACGUGAGGAGGGGAAAAAUGUCGGCGUGAUAAAAACAAUAUACAGUACAGUGAGAUGGACCUUCACAGUGCAGACUGUGGAGAGGAGGAGUGGAGGAAGGAGGCUUAUAUCCAUAUUUUCAUACAAAAUACAGGGACAGAAAUGGGAGACAUGUCAAAGCAAAGAAGCCAAUUUGAAAAGAAAACAAGAUCAUACAAGUCCUCCCCGAGGUCCGGGCUGGGUCAGGAGGGCUGCUGAGGUCCUGAGGUGGGACUGUCGCGUGUCCAGCUCAAGAGACAAAGCACCAUGGCCUGUGUUCUCUCCAUGCUUCUCCGUGACGACCCGUGUGCUGUCCACAAACCUGCAGGAAACGCCUCUGAUGUCCCCUGUAUCCCCGAGUAACAACCCCUCAAAGUGACAAAGAAUAUACAGUACAGUGAGAUGGAACUUUAUACUGCAGGCUGUGGAGAGGAGGAGUGGAG